GGCAGCGGAACUCCAUGUGUAGCGGUGGAAUGCGUAGAUAUAUGGAAGACACCAGUUGCCGAAGGCGGCCGCCUGGACUGUUGCUGACGCUCAGGCACGAAAGCGUGGGGAGCAAAUAGGAUUAGAUACCCUAGUAGUCCACGCCCUAAACGAUGAGGAGCAGGUGUCGGGGGUAGAGCCCCGGUGCCGAAGCCAACGCAGUGACUCCUCCGCCUGGGGAGUAUGCACGCAAGUGUGAAACUCAAAGGAAUUGACGGGGGCCCGCACAAGCGGUGGAGUAUGUGGUUUAAUUCGAAGCAACGCGAAGAACCUUACCAGGCCUUGACAUGGGAUGCGAAGGUGCAGAGAUGCACUGGAGGUUAUCAUCCACACAGGUGGUGAAUGAAAAAACGUCAGCUCGUGUCGUGAGAUGUUCAGUUAAGUCUGGCAACGAGCGCAACCCUCGUGAUAUGUUGCUAACAUUCAGUUGAGGACUCAUAUCAGACUGCCGGUACAAACCGGAGGAAGGUGGGGAUGACGUCAAAUCAUCAUGCCCCUUAUGGCCUGGGCUACACACGUACUACAAUGGCAUCUACAAAGGGAAGCGAACCUGUGAAGGGAAGCGAACCCCACAAAAGAUGUCCCAGUUCGGAUUGAAGUCUGCAACCCGACUUCAUGAAGUUGGAAUCGCUAGUAAUCGCAGAUCAGCAUGCUCGUGAAUACGUUCCCGGGCCUUGUACACA
RNAcentral lists this ribosomal RNA (722 nucleotides) under uncultured bacterium. Its description in RNAcentral is "bacterial SSU rRNA". It matches the Rfam family "Bacterial small subunit ribosomal RNA", at positions 657 to 1389 of the family's 1533-position model. The record is from RNAcentral.